GACGAACGCUGGCGGCGUGCUUAACACAUGCAAGUCGAACGAAGAGCGACGGAAGCUUGCUUCUAUCAAUCUUAGUGGCGAACGGGUGAGUAACGCGUAAUCAACCUGCCCUUCAGAGGGGGACAACAGUUGGAAACGACUGCAAAUACCGCAUACGAUCUAAUCUCGGCAUCGAGGAUGGAUGAAAGGUGGCCUCUACAUGUAAGCUAUCACUGAAGGAGGGGAUUGCGUCUGAUUAGCUAGUUGGAGGGGUAACGGCCCACCAAGGCGAUGAUCAGUAGCCGGUCUGAGAGGAUGAACGGCCACAUUGGGACUGAGACACGGCCCAGACUCCUACGGGAGGCAGCAGUGGGGAAUCUUCCGCAAUGGACGAAAGUCUGACGGAGCAACGCCGCGUGAGUGAUGACGGCCUUCGGGUUGUAAAGCUCUGUUAAUCGGGACGAAAGGCCUUCUUGCGAAUAGUGAGAAGGAUUGACGGUACCGGAAUAGAAAGCCACGGCUAACUACGUG
RNAcentral lists this ribosomal RNA (510 nucleotides) under uncultured bacterium. RNAcentral describes it as "partial 16S ribosomal RNA". It matches the Rfam family "Bacterial small subunit ribosomal RNA", at positions 28 to 507 of the family's 1533-position model. The record is from RNAcentral.